This is a long non-coding RNA of Aquila chrysaetos chrysaetos, 434 nucleotides long. RefSeq lists it as uncharacterized. The transcript has 3 exons. NCBI's taxonomy places the organism in Eukaryota, Metazoa, Chordata, Aves, Accipitriformes, Accipitridae. The record is from RefSeq and is a predicted model, not a curated record.
GCUGUGUGGUGCUUAGUUGCUGGCUGGGGUUGAACCACGACAAUAUGUUCCAGAGCCACAUCUCAACUGUAUUCACCAGUGCACUUAGUUUGCUAGAGCAUAUUCUGCAAGCAAUGGAAAGAAUGAUAGUCAUUGUUGCAUGGAACAGCAGUGCACCAGACUCUUUUAUCAGUACUUUAAAACAACUGGAGUGCAGAUGAGAAGGUGUUAGUCACAACUGCCUAAAACCACAGUGGUUCUUUCAUACUGUACUUUUGGGCCAAUAUCGCUCCAUGGAAGAGGCCACCCAUCCGACUCCAUGGAUCCACAAAGUAUGCAAGACCUGUUGGCAAGUAUGCAAGACCUCGUUUUUUUACUGCAGCCUGGGUUUGGACACGCUCCCAUCACUUCGUUGUUUGCUACUGCAGGAACAUGGAAGUGAAGGAAUCUGUACA